This 459-nucleotide ribosomal RNA is filed under the name uncultured bacterium. Its description in RNAcentral is "partial 16S ribosomal RNA". It matches the Rfam family "Bacterial small subunit ribosomal RNA", at positions 338 to 795 of the family's 1533-position model. The record is from RNAcentral.
CCUACGGGUGGCAGCAGUGAGGAAUAUUGGUCAAUGGGCGCGAGCCUGAACCAGCCAAGCCGCGUGAGGGAAGAAGGUACUGCGUAUCGUAAACCUCUUUUGUCCGGGAACAAAGGCGGGGACUCGUCCCCGUCUAAGAGUACCUGAAGAAAAAGCAUCGGCUAACUCCGUGCCAGCAGCCGCGGUAAUACGGAGGAUGCGAGCGUUAUCCGGAUUUAUUGGGUUUAAGGGGUGCGCAGGCGGCCGGUUAAGUCAGCGGUAAAAUCCUGGGGCUCAACCCGGGCGUGCCGUUGAAACUGGUCGGCUGGAGCGUAGUUGCGGUAGGCGGAAUGUAUGGUGUAGCGGUGAAAUGCUUAGAGAUCAUACAGAACUCCGAUUGCGAAGGCAGCUUACCAGGGUACUUCUGACGUUGAGGCACGAAAGCGUGGGUAGCGAACAGGAUUAGAUACCCUUGUAGUC